This 492-nucleotide ribosomal RNA is filed under the name uncultured bacterium. RNAcentral's name for it is "partial 16S ribosomal RNA". It matches the Rfam family "Bacterial small subunit ribosomal RNA", at positions 29 to 507 of the family's 1533-position model. The record is from RNAcentral.
AGUGAACGCUGGCGGUAGGCCUAACACAUGCAAGUCGAACGGCAGCACAGUAAGAGCUUGCUCUUACGGGUGGCGAGUGGCGGACGGGUGAGGAAUACAUCGGAAUCUACUUUUUCGUGGGGGAUAACGUAGGGAAACUUACGCUAAUACCGCAUACGACCUACGGGUGAAAGCAGGGGAUCUUCGGACCUUGCGCGAUUGAAUGCGCCGAUGUCGGAUUAGCUAGUUGGCGGGGUAAAGGCCCACCAAGGCGACGAUCCGUAGCUGGUCUGAGAGGAUGAUCAGCCACACUGGAACUGAGACACGGUCCAGACUCCUACGGGAGGCAGCAGUGGGGAAUAUUGGACAAUGGGCGCAAGCCUGAUCCAGCCAUACCGCGUGGGUGAAGAAGGCCUUCGGGUUGUAAAGCCCUUUUGUGGGGAAAGAAAAGCAGCAGGUUAAUACCCCGCUGUUCUGACGGUACCCAAAGAAUAAGCACCGGCUAACUUCGUG